The sequence is a transfer RNA, 74 nucleotides long. It matches the Rfam family "tRNA". Rfam says of the family: Transfer RNA (tRNA) molecules are approximately 80 nucleotides in length. Their secondary structure includes four short double-helical elements and three loops (D, anti-codon, and T loops). Further hydrogen bonds mediate the characteristic L-shaped molecular structure. tRNAs have two regions of fundamental functional importance: the anti-codon, which is responsible for specific mRNA codon recognition, and the 3' end, to which the tRNAs corresponding amino acid is attached (by aminoacyl-tRNA synthetases). tRNAs cope with the degeneracy of the genetic code in two manners: having more than one tRNA (with a specific anti-codon) for a particular amino acid; and 'wobble' base-pairing, i.e. permitting non-standard base-pairing at the 3rd anti-codon position. The record is from Rfam.
UGUCGUGUAGUUCAGUUGGUAGAAACACCUGACUGUUAAUCAGGAUGUCGCUGGUUCGAGCCCAGCCACGACAG